This is a non-coding RNA of Acanthosepion pharaonis, 90 nucleotides long. NCBI's taxonomy places the organism in Eukaryota, Metazoa, Mollusca, Cephalopoda, Sepiida, Sepiidae. The record is from the annotation of a GenBank genome assembly.
UACCUGUUCCAGUGAGAUCAGCGAAUUUAAGCAACGUCGAUCCUGUUUAGUACUCAGAUGGGUGACCGCUUGGGAAUACCUGAUGCUGUA